AGAGUUUGAUCAUGGCUCAGAUUGAACGCUGGCGGCAGGCUUAACACAUGCAAGUCGAACGGUAACAGGGAGGAGCUUGCUUCUUUGCUGACGAGUGGCGGACGGGUGAGUAAUGCUUGGGAAUCUGGCUUAUGGAGGGGGAUAACUACGGGAAACUGUAGCUAAUACCGCGUAAUAUCUUCGGAUUAAAGGGUGGGACUUUCGGGCCACCUGCCAUAAGAUGAGCCCAAGUGGGAUUAGGUAGUUGGUGGGGUAAAGGCCUACCAAGCCGACGAUCUCUAGCUGGUCUGAGAGGAUGACCAGCCACACUGGAACUGAGACACGGUCCAGACUCCUACGGGAGGCAGCAGUGGGGAAUAUUGCACAAUGGGGGGAACCCUGAUGCAGCCAUGCCGCGUGAAUGAAGAAGGCCUUCGGGUUGUAAAGUUCUUUCGGUGAUGAGGAAGGUGUUUGUUUUAAUAGAGCAAGCAAUUGACGUUAGUCACAGAAGAAGCACCGGCUAACUCCGUGCCAGCAGCCGCGGUAAUACGGAGGGUGCGAGCGUUAAUCGGAAUGACUGGGCGUAAAGGGCACGCAGGCGGUGACUUAAGUGAGAUGUGAAAGCCCCGAGCUUAACUUGGGAAUUGCAUUUCAUACUGGGUCGCUAGAGUAUUUUAGGGAGGGGUAGAAUUCCACGUGUAGCGGUGAAAUGCGUAGAGAUGUGGAGGAAUACCGAAGGCGAAGGCAGCCCCUUGGGAAUAUACUGACGCUCAUGUGCGAAAGCGUGGGGAGCAAACAGGAUUAGAUACCCUGGUAGUCCACGCUGUAAACGCUGUCGAUUUGGGGAUUGGGCUUUAAGCUUGGUGCCCGUAGCU
Molecule: ribosomal RNA, 854 nt
Filed under: uncultured bacterium
Lineage: Bacteria
Description: bacterial SSU rRNA
Rfam family: Bacterial small subunit ribosomal RNA
Source: RNAcentral